ACGUCAUUCUCCUGCCUCAGCUUCCGGAGCAGCUGGGACUGCUGGCGCCCGCCACUACGCUCGGCUAAUUUUUUUGUGUUUUUAGUAGAGACGGGCUUUCACCGUGUUGGCCUAGCGGUUCUCCAACUCCUGACCUCAUGAUCCCCCCGCCUCAGCCUCCCAAAGUGCUGGGAUUACAAGCGUGAGCCACCGCGACCCGCCAACACUCUUGACAACAGUGCUGUGCUAAGAACUUGGGGGACUUCAAAAAGUUCACCAGUUCCUGUGUCCAUGGGUGAAAAGAUUUUCUACAUCUUUCCUUGACUAGAAACAGAAGUCCUGAAACAAGAAUAUAACGUCAGGAGGCCAGAGGCUUUGUCCUGCCUAAUGUGUUAUUUCCACACUGAAUAAAAGCACCUGAGUCCUGCAUUUUAAAAAGGUUGUACAUCUAGCAAUACCUAACAAAAUAGGAAAUCAACUUGUGUCAUUGCAAGAGCAGUUUAGACAAGGCUACAAAUCUACAAGAUGACAUCAGUUAAUACAGUGAAGACAGCUGGAAAUGCAGAGCAUUCAUACAGGAGGCAAUGUAUUGUAAUGGAGAUUUCCGUUUCAUUUCUCAGCAGAGAGCAGCCACUGUCUUUUGUGUUUGGAUAGACAUAUGGAUAUAAGAAAAAUUAUAGAAUAGGAUAGAAGACAUAGUAAUCUAAUGAGUGUUCUGACUGAAUGUUCUAACCUAUGAAAUUAUCAGUCCAAAACUACAUGUUCAGAACUUACGUGCAACAUUAUCUUGCGUUAUAUUAGUAAGUACAUUAAAGGAAAUAGUGGGAAGAAUAAAAUUAAGAGAAGAAAAAAGGUUUUUUUUUCUUUUUACUUGAAGAGCUUCUUUUCAGGAAUGGUAUGAGUUUUUCCCCAAGCCACCUUAAUUUUAAAGUGGCUAUAAGAACCCAGAGAGUGGUACUAAAAGUAACUAAAAGUCUCUUAAGAGGUACUUGCUUUUCAAAGCUAUUGCUGAGAUUCAUGUAAAUUAAAUGUGUGCAAAGAAAAAUGUGUAGAGAAUUAUUUUAACACUCUUGACUGCUUCCUCCAAUUUGAAUUUGUUGGAUUUCUUUUUACUCUCCCAAAGUCCACUUAAAGAAAGAAAUGUUCAAUAUUAAAUUAAGAAACAUUAAGAGAAAUAC
Molecule: long non-coding RNA, 1157 nt
Filed under: Homo sapiens (human)
Lineage: Eukaryota; Metazoa; Chordata; Mammalia; Primates; Hominidae
Description: long intergenic non-protein coding RNA 2327
Source: RNAcentral